CAGUAGAGAAUCUUGUGCAAUAAACGAAAGUAUGACACAGAGAGGACACAUUUAAUUGAGCCCGUCAAAUUAAGUGCCAGCCGACGCGGUUAAACUUAAGGGCUGGUCUUUAUAAGUAAAAAGGCGUAAAGGAUGUGUAGGCCAAGAAACGACCCAAGUAGGUAAAUGGAAUUUUUCUGGAGCGGUAGAAUGUGAGGAUAGAAAAUAGAACCCCUAAGGUAAAAACUAUUUACCACAAGGUAGGCUGAAACAUGAGAGUGUGGGGAGCAAACAGGAUUAGAGACCCUGGUAGUCCACACUGUGAACUUUGAAGAUGAUGCUUAGCAGACCCGAAAGGUAAAAUCUUCCGCCUGAGUAGUACGAUCGCAAGAUUAAAAUUCAAAAACUUUGGCUGUUCACUAUUUCGAUUAGAGGAGCGUGUAGUUUAAUUCGAUGGUCCGCGUGUUACCUUACCCCAACUUGAAUCUGUGACCGGUAUUGCAUGGCCGUCGUAAGUUCGUGUAUUAAGCUAGAAGGGACCCAACCCGGGCAUUUGCCCGGAGGAAGUCAGGUCUUAUGAUCCGAAUGUUGGGGGAUUUUAUGCGCUACAUUUUCUUAUAUAAUGGGAAACCUGGAAGGUGAGCCUCUAAAGUAAGAGUUCGGAAGGUCGCUGUAAGACGACUGGAAGUUGGAUUUAAUAGUAAUCGGAAAGUAGGGCGUUCCGGUGAAUUGGUACAAGUGUUAGCACAAAUUGCCCGUCACCUUUACCUAGAAUGGUUAUUCGGACGUCUUCGGUGA
Molecule: ribosomal RNA, 777 nt
Filed under: Liponema brevicorne
Lineage: Eukaryota; Metazoa; Cnidaria; Anthozoa; Actiniaria; Liponematidae
Description: Liponema brevicornis partial 12S ribosomal RNA
Rfam family: Bacterial small subunit ribosomal RNA
Source: RNAcentral